This 493-nucleotide ribosomal RNA is filed under the name uncultured bacterium. Its description in RNAcentral is "bacterial LSU rRNA". It matches the Rfam family "Bacterial large subunit ribosomal RNA", at positions 819 to 1311 of the family's 2925-position model. The record is from RNAcentral.
CGGAGAAAUUCCAAACGAACUUGGAGAUAGCUGGUUCUCUCCGAAAUAGCUUUAGGGCUAGCGUCGACAUUGAGAAUCUUGGAGGUAGAGCACUGUUUGGAUGAGGGGGCCAUCUCGGUUUACUGAUUUCAGAUAAACUCCGAAUGCCAAUGAUUUAUGGUCGGCAGUCAGACUGCGAGUGCUAAGAUCCGUAGUCGAAAGGGAAACAGCCCAGACCACCAGCUAAGGUCCCAAAAUAAUUGUUAAGUGGAAAAGGAUGUGGGGUUGCACAGACAACUAGGAUGUUAGCUUAGAAGCAGCUAUUCAUUCAAAGAGUGCGUAAUAGCUCACUAGUCGAGUGACCCUGCGCCGAAAAUGUACCGGGGCUAAAACAAUUUACCGAAGCUGUGGAUAACACGAAAGUGUUAUGGUAGGAGAGCGUUCUAUGUGUGAAGAAGGUAUACCGUGAGGAGUGCUGGAACGCAUAGAAGUGAGAAUGCCGGUAUGAGUAGCG